This 500-nucleotide ribosomal RNA is filed under the name uncultured Myrionecta. Its description in RNAcentral is "bacterial SSU rRNA". It matches the Rfam family "Eukaryotic small subunit ribosomal RNA", at positions 34 to 595 of the family's 1831-position model. The record is from RNAcentral. Lineage: Eukaryota; Ciliophora; Litostomatea; Cyclotrichida; Mesodiniidae.
AAGGUGUCUCAGACUAAGCCAUGCACGUCUAAGUACAAACUAAAUGAUGGUGAACUGCAAAUGGCUCAUUACAACGGUUAUGAUGCACCCGGGAGUUCCGAUGGAUAUUUCCAGUAACACUAGAACUAAUACAUGUCCCUGCGUUUAUUAGUUUCGCACAGUCCGUCGCUGAGUCAUGGUAAACAGUUGAUCAACUCGACGUCCCGGAACAGUUUCCGCCCCAUCAGCUUCGAUGGUUGGGUAUUGGCCUACCAUUGCAACAACGGGUAACGAGGAAUUAGGGUUUGAUUUCGGAGAGGGAGCCUGAGAAACGGCUACCACAUCUACGGAUGGCAGCAGGCGCGCAAAUUACCCAAUGCAGACACUGUGAGGUAGUGACGAGAAAUAAUAAAGCGGGACUUCUGUUUCGCUAUUAUAAUGAGGAAUAACCAAGGUCAUUCCGAUUAGCAACUGAUGGGAAAGUCUGGUGCCAGCAGCCGCGGUAAUACCAGCGUCAGUAG